Molecule: long non-coding RNA, 765 nt
Organism: Galeopterus variegatus (Sunda flying lemur)
Lineage: Eukaryota; Metazoa; Chordata; Mammalia; Dermoptera; Cynocephalidae
Exons: 3
Source: RefSeq, a predicted model, not a curated record
CAGAACAAGACUGGGACUCCUAACUCUAGUCCAUAGACUCAGUACCUGCUCCCGAAGGGUGCUGGGUGCUCAUCCCCAAGGCUUGUGUCAUAUUUACUGCUGUGUACACGUAUGGGUACCUGUCGUGACUGACAUGUUACAUGGGGGAAGUAGAGAGACAUGGAAAGGGACCUUUCCCUUUAUUAUUGUGAGUGCCACCUUCGGGGCCUUCCUCAGCUCAUAUUUCAUUCAGAGUCUUCCUGUGGCUAUAAUGGGCUGGGGGUGUUAAUUGAGGGCAUUGGCUCGCCCUGUUACUUGUGUCCUAAUCAGGAAGUGCAAAGCUGCGUUGCCCACUGUAGUAGGUUGAAUGGUAGCCCCCAAAAGACAGGCCUACCAGAAUCUGUGGACAUGAACUUGUUUAGAAAAAGAGUCUUUGCAGAUGUAAUUAAGGAUCUUGAGAUGAGAUCAUCUUGGAUUUAGAGUGAGCCCUAAAUACAGUGACAAUUGUCCUUAGAAGAGAAGGGGAGAAAACAUAGAGGGGAAGACCACAUGAAGACAGGCAGAGAUUGGGGUGGGGGUGGGGCCACAUCAAAGAAUGCCAAGAAUUGCCGGCCACCACCGGAGCAGAUUCUCUUCAGAACCUCCAGGACGCCAGCACAGGGAUCGAACCCUGGACCUUGGUGUGAUCAGCACCGUGCUCUAACCAACUGAGCAACUGGCCGCCUCCAUCUAAUGUUUUAACAAUGGCCGGGAUACACUCCACUCUCCUGUCCAUGGACAUCAGAG